RNAcentral lists this ribosomal RNA (915 nucleotides) under uncultured organism. RNAcentral describes it as "bacterial SSU rRNA". It matches the Rfam family "Bacterial small subunit ribosomal RNA", at positions 162 to 1084 of the family's 1533-position model. The record is from RNAcentral.
GCUAAUUCCCAAUGUUCCCUGCACUAUGAAAAAAUGCAGGGCAAAGAUUUAUCGCUUUUGGAGGGGGGUGCGUCCUAUCAGGUAGUUGGUGUGGUAAUAGCUCACCAAGCCUAUGACGGGUAGCCGGUCUGAGAGGAUGUCCGGCCGCAAUGGAACUGAGACACGGUCCAUACUCCUACGGGAGGCAGCAGUGGGGAAUCUUGCGCAAUGGGCGAAAGCCUGACGCAGCAAUCCCGCGUGAAGGAUGAAGCAUUAUGGUGUGUAAACUUCUUUUCUGGUGGAAGACGAAUGACGGUACACCAGGAAUAAGGGACGGCUAACUACGUGCCAGCAGCCGCGGUAAUACGUAGGUCCCAAGUGUUAUCCGGAAUUACUGGGCGUAAAGAGUCUGUAGCCGGGUUUGUAAGUCUGUUUUCAAAUCCUAUGGCUUAACCAUAGAGAGGGAAUGGAUACUGCAAACCUUGAGAUUAUUGGGGGUUGAUGGAAUUUCCGGUGGAGCGGUGAAAUGCGUUGAUAUCGGAAGGAACGCCAAAAGUGAAAGCAGUCAACUACAAUAAAAUCUGACGGUCAGAGACGAAAGCUUGGGGAGCAAACGGGAUUAGAUACCCCGGUAGUCCAAGCCGUAAAUUAUGCAUGCUAGGUGUCUUGUUCACUUUAUGUGAGCGGGGUGCCGUAAUCUAACGAGUUAAGCAUGCCGCCUGGGUAGUAUAUUCGCAAGAAUGAACUCAAAGGAUAGGCGGGGGACACACAAGCAGUGGAUUGUCUCGAUUAAUUGGAUAAUAAGCCAAGAAUCUUACCUAGACUUGACAUAUAUUGUGUCCUACGUGAAAGUGUAGUAAUCCCGAUUUUGUCGGGAUACGAUAUACAGGUGGUGCAUGGUCGUCGUCAGCUCGUGCCGCAAGAUGUCCAGUUAAG